GGGACACGUGGUAUCCUGUCUGAAUAUGGGGGGACCAUCCUCCAAGGCUAAAUACUCCUGACUGACCGAUAGUGAACCAGUACCGUGAGGGAAAGGCGAAAAGAACCCCGGCGAGGGGAGUGAAAAAGAACCUGAAACCGUGUACGUACAAGCAGUGGGAGCCUCUUAAUGGGGUGACUGCGUACCUUUUGUAUAAUGGGUCAGCGACUUAUAUUCUGUAGCAAGGUUAACCGAAUAGGGGAGCCGAAGGGAAACCGAGUCUUAACUGGGCGUUAAGUUGCAGGGUAUAGACCCGAAACCCGGUGAUCUAGCCAUGGGCAGGUUGAAGGUUGGGUAACACUAACUGGAGGACCGAACCGACUAAUGUUGAAAAAUUAGCGGAUGACUUGUGGCUGGGGGUGAAAGGCCAAUCAAACCGGGAGAUAGCUGGUUCUCCCCGAAAGCUAUUUAGGUAGCGCCUCGUGAAUUCAUCUCCGGGGGUAGAGCACUGUUUCGGCAAGGGGGUCAUCCCGACUUACCAACCCGAUGCAAACUGCGAAUACCGGAGAAUGUUAUCACGGGAGACACACGGCGGGUGCUAACGUCCGUCGUGAAGAGGGAAACAACCCAGACCGCCAGCUAAGGUCCCAAAGUCAUGGUUAAGUGGGAAACGAUGUGGGAAGGCCCAGACAGCCAGGAUGUUGGCUUAGAAGCAGCCAUCAUUUAAAGAAAGCGUAAUAGCUCACUGGUCGAGUCGGCCUGCGCGGAAGAUGUAACGGGGCUAAACCAUGCACCGAAGCUGCGGCAGCGACGCUUAUGCGUUGUUGGGUAGGGGAGCGUUCUGUAAGCCUAUGAAGGUGUGCUGUGAGACAUGCUGGAGGUAUCAGAAGUGCGAAUGCUGACAUAAGUAACGAUAAAGCGGGUGAAAAGCCCGCUCGCCGGAAGACCAAGGGUUCCUGUCCAACGUUAAUCGGGGCAGGGUGAGUCGACCCCUAAGGCGAGGCCGAAAGGCGUAGUCGAUGGGAAACAGGUUAAUAUUCCUGUACUUGGUGUUACUGCGAAGGGGGGACGGAGAAGGCUAUGUUGGCCGGGCGACGGUUGUCCCGGUUUAAGCGUGUAGGCUGGUUUUCCAGGCAAAUCCGGAAAACCAAGGCUGAGGCGUGAUGACGAGGCACUACGGUGCUGAAGCGACAAAUGCCCUGCUUCCAGGAAAAGCCUCUAAGCAUCAGGUAACAUCAAAUCGUACCCCAAACCGACACAGGUGGUCAGGUAGAGAAUACCAAGGCGCUUGAGAGAACUCGGGUGAAGGAACUAGGCAAAAUGGUGCCGUAACUUCGGGAGAAGGCACGCUGAUAUGUAGGUGAAGCGACUUGCUCGUGGAGCUGAAAUCAGUCGAAGAUACCAGCUGGCUGCAACUGUUUAUUAAAAACACAGCACUGUGCAAACACGAAAGUGGACGUAUACGGUGUGACGCCUGCCCGGUGCCGGAAGGUUAAUUGAUGGGGUUAGCGGCAACGCGAAGCUCUUGAUCGAAGCCCCGGUAAACGGCGGCCGUAACUAUAACGGUCCUAAGGUAGCGAAAUUCCUUGUCGGGUAAGUUCCGAC
Molecule: ribosomal RNA, 1584 nt
Filed under: Escherichia coli
Lineage: Bacteria; Pseudomonadati; Pseudomonadota; Gammaproteobacteria; Enterobacterales; Enterobacteriaceae
Description: partial 23S ribosomal RNA
Rfam family: Bacterial large subunit ribosomal RNA
Source: RNAcentral